RNAcentral lists this ribosomal RNA (468 nucleotides) under uncultured bacterium. RNAcentral describes it as "partial 16S ribosomal RNA". It matches the Rfam family "Bacterial small subunit ribosomal RNA", at positions 28 to 507 of the family's 1533-position model. The record is from RNAcentral.
GACGAACGCUGGCGGCGUGCUUAACACAUGCAAGUCGAACGGAAAGGCCCUGCUUUUGUGGGGUGCUCGAGUGGCGAACGUGUGAGUAACACGUGAGUAACCUGCCCUUGACUUUGGGAUAACUUCAGGAAACUGGGGCUAAUACCGGAUAGGAGCUCCUGCUGCAUGGUGGUGGUUGGAAAGUUUCGGCGGUUGGGGAUGGACUCGCGGCUUAUCAGCUUGUUGGUGGGGUAGUGGCUUACCAAGGCUUUGACGGGUAGCCGGCAUGAGAGGGUGACCGGCAACAUUGGGACUGAGAUACGGCGCAGACGCCUACGGGAGGCAGCAGGGGGGAAUAUUGCACAAUGGGAGGAAGCCUGAUGCAGCAACGCCGCGUGCGGGACGACGGCCUUCGGGUUGUAAACCGCUUUCGCCUGUGACGAAGCGUGAGUGACGGUAAUGGGUAAAGAAGCACCGGCUAACUACGUG